AGUGAACGCUGGCGGUAGGCCUAACACAUGCAAGUCCAACGGAAGCACAGUAAGAGCUUGCUCUUACGGGUGGCGAGUGGCGGACGGGUGAGGAAUACAUCGGAAUCUACUUUUUCGUGGGGGAUAACGUAGGGAAACUUACGCUAAUACAGCAUACGACCUACGGGUGAAAGCAGGGGAUCUUCGGACCUUGCGGGUUUGAAUGAGCCGAUGUCGGAUUAGUUGGUGGGGGGGGUAAAGGCCAACCAUGGCGACGAUCCGUGGCUGGUCUGAGAGGAUGAUCAGCCACACUGGAACUGGGACACGGUCCAGACUCCUGAGGGAGGCAGCAGUGGGGAAUAUUGGACAAUGGGCGCAAACCUUGUCCAACCAUACCGCGUGGGUUGAGAAGGCCUUCGGGUUGUAAAGCCCUUUUUUUGGGAAAAAAAAGCAGCAGGUUGAUACCCCGCUGUUCUGACGGUACCCAAAGAAUAAGCACCGGCUAACUUCGUG
This 492-nucleotide ribosomal RNA is filed under the name uncultured bacterium. RNAcentral describes it as "partial 16S ribosomal RNA". It matches the Rfam family "Bacterial small subunit ribosomal RNA", at positions 29 to 507 of the family's 1533-position model. The record is from RNAcentral.